Long non-coding RNA from Hibiscus syriacus, 213 nucleotides. RefSeq lists it as uncharacterized. The record is from RefSeq and is a predicted model, not a curated record. The transcript is spliced from 3 exons. NCBI's taxonomy places the organism in Eukaryota, Viridiplantae, Streptophyta, Magnoliopsida, Malvales, Malvaceae.
ACAAUAUCCAGGGAAACCAAAACCAGCCUUCUUUUAACAUCAGGAUGGUGGGGUUUGGCUCGGCAUUUCCAUUACGUUCCAGAAAUUUUAGCUUCAUUUUUUUUGGACUGUUCCAGCUCUGUUCAACCAUUUUCUGCCCUACUUCUAUGUCGUGUAUCUUACCAUCCUCUUAUUCGACCGAGCCAAAAGGGACAAUGACUGGUGCUGGUCCAA